UGGGGAAUCUUCCGCAAUGGACGAAAGUCUGACGGAGCAACGCCGCGUGAGUGAUGACGGCCUUCGGGUUGUAAAGCUCUGUUAAUCGGGACGAAUGGUUCUUGUGCAAAUAGUGCGAGGAUUUGACGGUACCGGAAUAGAAAGCCACGGCUAACUACGUGCCAGCAGCCGCGGUAAUACGUAGGUGGCAAGCGUUGUCCGGAAUUAUUGGGCGUAAAGCGCGCGCAGGCGGAUUGGUCAGUCUGUCUUAAAAGUUCGGGGCUUAACCCCGUGAUGGGAUGGAAACUGCCAAUCUAGAGUAUCGGAGAGGAAAGUGGAAUUCCUAGUUUAGCGGUGAAAUGCGUAGAUAUUAGGAAGAACACCAGUGGCGAAGGCGACUUUCUGGACGAAAACUGACGCUGAGGCGCGAAAGCCAGGGGAGCGAACGGG
This 429-nucleotide ribosomal RNA is filed under the name bacterium. RNAcentral describes it as "partial 16S ribosomal RNA". It matches the Rfam family "Bacterial small subunit ribosomal RNA", at positions 355 to 776 of the family's 1533-position model. The record is from RNAcentral.